This 492-nucleotide ribosomal RNA is filed under the name uncultured bacterium. Its description in RNAcentral is "partial 16S ribosomal RNA". It matches the Rfam family "Bacterial small subunit ribosomal RNA", at positions 29 to 507 of the family's 1533-position model. The record is from RNAcentral.
AGUGAACGCUGGCGGUAGGCCUAACACAUGCAAGUCGAACGGCAGCACAGUAAGAGCUUGCUCUUACGGGUGGCGAGUGGCGGACGGGUGAGGAAUACAUCGGAAUCUACUUUUUCGUGGGGGAUAACGUAGGGAAACUUACGCUAAUACCGCAUACGACCUACGGAUGAAAGCAGGGGAUCUUCGGACCUUGCGCGAUUGAAUGAGCCGAUGUCGGAUUAGCUAGUUGGCGGGGUAAAGGCCCACCAAGGCGACGAUCCGUAGCUGGCCUGAGAGGAUGAUCAGCCACACUGGAACUGAGACACGGUCCAGACUCCUACGGGAGGCAGCAGUGGGGAAUAUUGGACAAUGGGCGCAAGCCUGAUCCAGCCAUACCGCGUGGGUGAAGAAGGCCUUCGGGUUGUAAAGCCCUUUUGUUGGGAAAGAAAAGCAGCAGGUUAAUACCCCGCUGUUCUGACGGUACCCAAAGAAUAAGCACCGGCUAACUUCGUG